GUCAAGUGGCAGGGCCUAGAGGCGGGGCCGUGCGAGCUGAGGGACGAGCGGGAGUCGCUGCUGGAGCAGUUCAGGUUGUAGAAGUAGCUCCCGCAGAGGGUGUUCUAGGCGGCCGUCUAGCUCCUGGACCUCGCGCGGCCUCCCCAGCUCGGGCCGUGGGAGUGGCAGCUGCCGCAGGGGCAGCUGUCGAUGGAGUGGUCCAAGCACACCCUGCUCCCGUUCAUGGGGCAGUUACGGGGCGAGUUCCUCUGGCAGCGGUCGUAGGUCAGGGUCCAGCGGUUCUAGCUCCUGCUGUACUUCCAAUCUCAACGACUUAUGCCAUUACAAUUCUCGGUCGAACCGCGUUAGUUGUCCUUCGUUUGACCCUCAAAUCGUCAAGCACUGGAAAGGUUGGAGUAUUUCGGUCUACUAUACCAGUGAAGCCUUGUAGAUCACUGUGAGGAAAGAUAACACGGUUUCAUAAGGGUUUUUCUAACCAAUAGUUCGAUGCUCAGUGAACUAUGCAAACACCAAGGCUCUAGUAGUUUUUUCGAAAUGCUCCUGUUACUCAUACGAGAGAUGUGACAUUGUAAUAAACGGUUCCAACAACUGUUGAAAUUCCAGGUACGAGCACUCUUUCCAAAGGUCUAGGUACUGAAACUCAUAUCAGGACUUCGUAUCCUCUCAGCCUUCGUUCUCGAUCUUUUUGACGACGUUCUGGUCCUUCAAUACUCCUGGAGAGAUAACGUUACCACGAUACGUUCGAUGUCACUCACGAUGAGGAUCACCAGUAGUACCGGCUUGAAUUGACUACUCUCAUAUGGAUCUUAUAACCCGAAGUCAACGAACCAACGACCUGUAAUCACCGCAACUACUACGAGUAAGAUUGAUCGCCCUCUCCCCUCCCUCGCAACUUCCUUGGCCUACUUCUGCUCAAAGUAGCACUACUACGAGUAGCACUACUGGCGUCGAGAGAAGAUACACUACCAUCAAAUCUACUAGCUAUAGCUGAAUAUUACACUUCUGUUUGAGCGAUGAGCGCCAGCUGAACAUUAUAUUACAAGAUAGAAACAAGCCAGAAAAGUUAAGCCUCUGAUUAUACUACUUAACAUAAACCUCUGAUAAUACUACUUAACAUAAGCCUCUGAUUAUACUACUUAACAUAAGUUUCUGAUUAGAAGAUAACAUAAGC
This 1171-nucleotide ribosomal RNA is filed under the name Triticum aestivum (bread wheat). Its description in RNAcentral is "partial small subunit ribosomal RNA". The record is from RNAcentral. Lineage: Eukaryota; Viridiplantae; Streptophyta; Magnoliopsida; Poales; Poaceae.